RNAcentral lists this ribosomal RNA (253 nucleotides) under uncultured bacterium. RNAcentral's name for it is "partial 16S ribosomal RNA". It matches the Rfam family "Bacterial small subunit ribosomal RNA", at positions 524 to 776 of the family's 1533-position model. The record is from RNAcentral.
UACGAAGGGUGCAAGCGUUACUCGGAAUUACUGGGCGUAAAGCGUGCGUAGGCGGUUUGUUAAGUCUGUCGUGAAAGCCCUGGGCUCAACCUGGGAAUUGCGAUGGAUACUGGCAAGCUAGAGUACGGUAGAGGAUGGUGGAAUUCCCGGUGUAGCGGUGAAAUGCGUAGAGAUCGGGAGGAACACCCGUGGCGAAGGCGGCCAUCUGGACCAGUACUGACGCUGAGGCACGAAAGCGUGGGGAUCAAACAGG